RNAcentral lists this ribosomal RNA (732 nucleotides) under uncultured bacterium. Its description in RNAcentral is "bacterial SSU rRNA". It matches the Rfam family "Bacterial small subunit ribosomal RNA", at positions 83 to 813 of the family's 1533-position model. The record is from RNAcentral.
GAUGGGCGUCGACCGGCGCACGGGUGAGUAACGCGUAUCCUACCUGCCCAUCACUUGGGGAUAACCUUGCGAAAGUAAGACUAAUACCCAAUGAUAUCUCUAGAAGACAUCUGAAAGAGAUUAAAGAUUUAUCGGUGAUGGAUGGGGAUGCGUCUGAUUAGCUUGUUGGCGGGGUAACGGCCCACCAAGGCGACGAUCAGUAGGGGUUCUGAGAGGAAGGUCCCCCACAUUGGAACUGAGACACGGUCCAAACUCCUACGGGAGGCAGCAGUGAGGAAUAUUGGUCAAUGGGCGAGAGCCUGAACCAGCCAAGUAGAGUGCAGGAUGACGGCCCUAUGGGUUGUAAACUGCUUUUAUAAGGGAAUAAAGUGAGUCUCGUGAGACUUUUUGCAUGUACCUUAUGAAUAAGGACCGGCUAAUUCCGUGCCAGCAGCCGCGGUAAUACGGAAGGUCCGGGCGUUAUCCGGAUUUAUUGGGUUUAAAGGGAGCGUAGGCCGGAGAUUAAGCGUGUUGUGAAAUGUAGACGCUCAACGUCUGCACUGCAGCGCGAACUGGUUUCCUUGAGUACGCACAAAGUGGGCGGAAUUCGUGGUGUAGCGGUGAAAUGCUUAGAUAUCACGAAGAACUCCGAUUGCGAAGGCAGCUCACUGGAGCGCAACUGACGCUGAAGCUCGAAAGUGCGGGUAUCGAACAGGAUUAGAUACCCUGGUAGUCCGCACGGUAAACGAUGGA